CGGCGUGCUUAACACAUGCAAGUCGAACGGUAAGGCCCUUUCGGGGGUACACGAGUGGCGAACGGGUGAGUAACACGUGGGUAAUCUGCCCUGCACUUCGGGAUAAGCCUGGGAAACCGGGUCUAAUACCGGAUAUGAGCUCCUGCCGCAUGGUGGGGGUUGGAAAGUUUUUCGGUGCAGGAUGAGUCCGCGGCCUAUCAGCUUGUUGGUGGGGUAAUGGCCUACCAAGGCGACGACGGGUAGCCGGCCUGAGAGGGUGAUCGGCCACACUGGGACUGAGACACGGCCCAGACUCCUACGGGAGGCAGCAGUGGGGAAUAUUGCACAAUGGGCGAAAGCCUGAUGCAGCGACGCCGCGUGGGGGAUGACGGUCUUCGGAUUGUAAACUCCUUUCAGUAGGGACGAAGCGAAAGUGACGGUACCUGCAGAAGAAGCACCGGCCAACUACGUGCCAGCAGCCGCGGUAAUACGUAGGGUGCAAGCGUUGUCCGGAAUUACUGGGCGUAAAGAGCUCGUAGGCGGUUUGUCACGUCGUCUGUGAAAUCCUCCAGCUCAACUGGGGGCGUGCAGGCGAUACGGGCAGACUUGAGUACUACAGGGGAGACUGGAAUUCCUGGUGUAGCGGUGAAAUGCGCAGAUAUCAGGAGGAACACCGGUGGCGAAGGCGGGUCUCUGGGUAGUAACUGACGCUGAGGAGCGAAAGCAUGGGGAGCAAACAGGAUUAGAUACCCUGGUAGUCCAUGCCGUAAACGGUGGGCGCUAGGUG
RNAcentral lists this ribosomal RNA (766 nucleotides) under Dietzia sp. RNAcentral describes it as "bacterial SSU rRNA". It matches the Rfam family "Bacterial small subunit ribosomal RNA", at positions 40 to 822 of the family's 1533-position model. The record is from RNAcentral. Lineage: Bacteria; Bacillati; Actinomycetota; Actinomycetes; Mycobacteriales; Dietziaceae.